CUGAAAACCUAGCCCCCCCCCCCCCCUUUUUUUCCAAACUAAAACUAAAAUAUUCUAACAGCCCAGUAAAGAAGAUUAAAAAACUUUUAGGAGCUAUAAUCUUGUACCGCAAGGGAAGAGUGAAAUAAAAAUGAAACAAAUUAAAGCACAAAAAAGUAGAGACCCACCCUCGUACCUUUUGCAUCAUGGUUUAGCUAGUCCAACUAGGCAAAAAGACUUUAAGUCUAACCCCCCGAAACUAAGUGAGCUAUUUUAGGGCCGCUUUAUGAGCCCACCCGUCUAUGUUGCAAAAUAGUGGGGUGACCUUAAAAUAGAGGUGACAGACCUAACGAACUUAGUUAUAGCUGGUUUCUCAAGAAAAGAAUCUUAGUCCAACCUAAAGUAAAGCCAACCCCUACAAUUAACCCCCUUACUUUAGAGCAAUUCAAAUGAGGUACAGCCCAUCUGAUCCAGGAUCCAACCUUCACCAACGGGUAACAUUUAACUCACACCUGCAAGUAGGCCUAAAAGCAGCCACCUUUUAAAAAGCGUUAAAGCUUAAUCAUGUACACCCUAAUUCACGAACCCACAUCGAACCCUCUAGUCAUACUGAGAACUUCUAUAACAUUAUAGAACCUUUUAUGCUAAAACUAGUAACAAGAGGCAACACCUCUCCUCAAUGCAAGCGUAAGCCAGCAGGAACCCAUCACUGGCAAUUAACAACCCAAACAAGUAGCAACCCACCCAGAGACCCCUACUCUUUUCAUUGUCAACCUAACACCAGAGCAUUUCAAGAAAGAUUUAAAGAAAAAGAAGGAACUCGGCAAAUAUCUUAACCCCGCCUGUUUACCAAAAACAUCGCCUCUUGCCAACUAUAAGAGGUCCAGCCUGCCCAGUGACUUGUUUAACGGCCGCGGUAUCCUAACCGUGCGAAGGUAGCGUAAUCACUUGUCUUCUAAAUAAAGACCAGUAUGAAAGGCAUCACGAGGGUUAAACUGUCUCCUUUAUCUAAUCAGUUAACCUAUUCUCCCCGUGAAGAAACGGGGAUUCUCCUAUAAGACGAGAAGACCCUAUGGAGCUUAAAACAUAAUAACACCUGCCGCCCACGUAAAUAUUCAGAUACCCUACCCCUGAGCACACUGAUUAUAAGUUUUUGGUUGGGGUGACCGCGGAGAAAAACUUAUCCUCCAUGAUGAAGGGGACUCCCCCUAAACAAUAAGCUACAACUUUAUGCAUCAAAAAAUUGACAUCCUUUGACCCAAUAAAUUGACCAACGAACCAAGUUACCCUAGGGAUAACAGCGCAAUCCACUUCGAGAGCCCUUAUCGACAAGUGGGCUUACGACCUCGAUGUUGGAUCGGGAUGUCCUAGUGGUGCAGCCGCUA
RNAcentral lists this ribosomal RNA (1364 nucleotides) under Pristimantis calcarulatus (San Antonio robber frog). RNAcentral's name for it is "partial 16S ribosomal RNA". It matches the Rfam family "Bacterial large subunit ribosomal RNA", at positions 373 to 2564 of the family's 2925-position model. Lineage: Eukaryota; Metazoa; Chordata; Amphibia; Anura; Strabomantidae. The record is from RNAcentral.